This 1413-nucleotide ribosomal RNA is filed under the name marine metagenome. RNAcentral's name for it is "bacterial LSU rRNA". It matches the Rfam family "Bacterial large subunit ribosomal RNA", at positions 1162 to 2475 of the family's 2925-position model. The record is from RNAcentral.
CGCGGACAAUGUAACGGGGCUCAAGUCCAGAGCCGAAGUCGCGGGUUUUCACAAUAGUGAAAGCGGUAGCGGAGCGUCGAUCUUGCUGUGAAGCGCCGGUGUAAACCGUCGUGGAGCGUGGUCGAGUGAGAAUGCAGGUAUGAGUAGCGAGAGAGGGGUGAGAAACCCCUCCGCCGAAAAUCCAAGGGUUCCUGGGGAAGGCUAAUCCUCCCAGGGUGAGUCGGGAGCUAAGACGAGGCCGAGAGGCGUAGUCGAUGCACAACCGGUUGAUAUUCCGGUACCACUGUGAGCACGACCAGGCUCAACCAUUGUUGCUAAGGGGAUGCUAGGAGCCCGUAAAAAGGCACCUAGAGGAACCGACCCACAAUGGAGCGGCCAGCAAUGCGGGGACGCAGGAAGGUAGGUGAACCCACCCGAUGGUAGAGGUGGGGUAAGUAUGUAGGGCGGGUCCCAGGAAAAUCCGGUACCCACUAAGCCUGAGAUACGACGCCGACUCGAUUAAGAGGAAGUCAUUGAUCCUAUGCUGCCAAGAAAAGCCGCUAGCGAGUUCUCACGGUGCCCGUACCCCAAACCAACACAGGUGGAUAGGUAGAGAAUACCAAGGCGAUUGGGAGAACUGUGGUUAAGGAACUCGGCAAAUUGCAUCCGUAACUUCGGGAGAAGGAUGACCUCAUUAAAGUGAUGGAACUUGCUUCCUGAGCUUGAAGAGGUGUCACAAACCAGAGGGAAGCGACUGUUUACUAAAAACACAGCAGCGUGCUAAGCCGUAAGGCGCUGUAUACGCUGUGACGCCUGCCCGGUGCCGGAAGGUUACGGGGACGGGUUAGCCCUUUAGGGCGAAGCUCUGAACCUAAGCCCCGGUAAACGGCGGCCGUAACUAUAACGGUCCUAAGGUAGCGAAAUUCCUUGUCGGGUAAGUUCCGACCUGCACGAAUGGCGUAACGACUUCCCUACUGUCUCAACCACAGACCCAGCGAAAUUGAAGUACGAGUAAAGAUGCUCGUUAGCUACAGAAGGACGGAAAGACCCCGUGGACCUUUACUACAACUUGGUAUUGAUGUUUGACCUUCACUGUGCAGGAUAGGUGGGAGACUUUGAAGCGCAUGCGCCAGUGUGCGUGGAGUCAUCCUUGAAAUACCACCCUGUGUAUGUUGAACAUCUAACCUCGAACCGUUAUCCGGUUUAGGAACAGUGCCAGGCGGGUAGUUUGACUGGGGCGGUCGCCUCCCAAAGAGUAACGGAGGCGCCCAAAGGUUCCCUCAGCCUGGUUGGCAAUCAGGCAUCGAGUGCAAUGGCAGAAGGGAGCUUGACUGCGAGACCUACAAGUCGAGCAGGGUCGAAAGACGGGCAUAGUGAUCCGGCGGUUGCGUGUGGAAGCGCCGUCGCUCAACGGAUAAAAGGUACCCCGGGGAU